This 491-nucleotide ribosomal RNA is filed under the name uncultured bacterium. RNAcentral's name for it is "partial 16S ribosomal RNA". It matches the Rfam family "Bacterial small subunit ribosomal RNA", at positions 29 to 507 of the family's 1533-position model. The record is from RNAcentral.
GUGAACGCUGGCGGUAGGCCUAACACAUGCAAGUCGAACGGCAGCACAGUAAGAGCUUGCUCUUACGGGUGGCGAGUGGCGGACGGGUGAGGAAUACAUCGGAAUCUACUUUUUCGUGGGGGAUAACGUAGGGAAACUUACGCUAAUACCGCAUACGACCUACGGGUGAAAGCAGGGGAUCUUCGGACCUUUCGCGAUUGCAUGAGCCGAUGUCGGAUUAGCUAGUUGGCGGGGUAAAGGCCCACCAAGGCGACGAUCCGUAGCUGGUCUGAGAGGAUGAUCGGCCACACUGGAACUGAGACACGGUCCAGACUCCUACGGGAGGCAGCAGUGGGGAAUAUUGGACAAUGGGCGCAAGCCUGAUCCAGCCAUACCGCGUGGGUGAAGAAGGCCUUCGGGUUGUAAAGCCCUUUUGUUGGGAAAGAAAAGCAGCAGGUUAAUACCCCGCUGUUCUGACGGUACCCAAAGAAUAAGCACCGGCUAACUUCGUG